Molecule: ribosomal RNA, 597 nt
Filed under: Trichoderma parareesei
Lineage: Eukaryota; Fungi; Ascomycota; Sordariomycetes; Hypocreales; Hypocreaceae
Description: LSU rRNA
Rfam family: Eukaryotic large subunit ribosomal RNA
Source: RNAcentral
UAAGCGGAGGAAAAGAAACCAACAGGGAUUGCCCCAGUAACGGCGAGUGAAGCGGCAACAGCUCAAAUUUGAAAUCUGGCCCUUUCGGGUCCGAGUUGUAAUUUGUAGAGGAUGCUUUUGGCAAGGCGCCGCCCGAGUUCCCUGGAACGGGACGCCACAGAGGGUGAGAGCCCCGUCUGGCUGGCCGCCGAGCCUCUGUAAAGCUCCUUCGACGAGUCGAGUAGUUUGGGAAUGCUGCUCAAAAUGGGAGGUAUAUGUCUUCUAAAGCUAAAUAUUGGCCAGAGACCGAUAGCGCACAAGUAGAGUGAUCGAAAGAUGAAAAGCACCUUGAAAAGAGGGUUAAAUAGUACGUGAAAUUGUUGAAAGGGAAGCGCUUGUGACCAGACUUGGGCGCGGCGGAUCAUCCGGGGUUCUCCCCGGUGCACUUCGCCGUGUCCAGGCCAGCAUCAGUUCGUCGCGGGGGAAAAAGGCUUCGGGAACGUGGCUCCCCUGGGAGUGUUAUAGCCCGUUGCAUAAUACCCUGCGGUGGACUGAGGACCGCGCAUCUGCAAGGAUGCUGGCGUAAUGGUCACCAGCGACCCGUCUUGAAACACGGAC